Molecule: unclassified non-coding RNA, 206 nt
Filed under: uncultured fungus
Lineage: Eukaryota; Fungi
Description: sequence contains ITS1, 5.8S rRNA gene
Rfam family: 5.8S ribosomal RNA (bases 158-206)
Source: RNAcentral
UUUCCGUAGGUGAACCUGCGGAAGGAUCAUUAGUAAGAAUCAUGCGCUCUCCUCUCUUUGGAGUCGAGAUGCCAUCUCUUCACUACCCUGUGCACCGUGUCUUUUUUACUUUUGCGCUUUGCAAGUUAUUGUAUGUCAACUACAAAAUGAAAGGCACAAAAUUCAGCAGUGGAUCUCUUGGCUCUCGCAUCGAUGAAGAACGCAGC